GCACUGGCUUCAAUCUUAGCACAUAUACUAAGAUUGGAACAACGCAGAGAACAUUAGCGUGGCCCCUGCACAAGGAUGGCACACAAGUUCAGGAAUUGUUACAUAUUUUU
This 110-nucleotide small nuclear RNA is filed under the name Catagonus wagneri (Chacoan peccary). Lineage: Eukaryota; Metazoa; Chordata; Mammalia; Artiodactyla; Tayassuidae. The record is from RNAcentral.